Molecule: long non-coding RNA, 815 nt
Filed under: Rattus norvegicus (Norway rat)
Lineage: Eukaryota; Metazoa; Chordata; Mammalia; Rodentia; Muridae
Description: long non-coding RNA NONRATT024764
Source: RNAcentral
GGGAUCACUGGCAGAGGAGGUUGUGUAGCCGCUUCCGUGCUACUCGCGCUGUGAGCAUUGCAAGCUAGAGCCGAGUACGCGGGCCGGCCAUCAUGUCACGUUACGGGCGGUAUGGAGGAGAAACCAAGGUAUAUGUUGGUAACCUGGGAACUGGCGCUGGUAAAGGAGAGUUAGAAAGGGCAUUCAGUUACUAUGGGCCCUUAAGAACUGUAUGGAUUGCCAGAAAUCCUCCAGGAUUUGCCUUUGUGGAAUUUGAAGACCCUAGAGAUGCAGAGGAUGCAGUUCGAGGAUUGGAUGGGAAAGUGAUUUGUGGUUCUCGAGUGAGGGUUGAAUUAUCAACAGGCAUGCCUCGGAGAUCUCGGUUUGAUAGGCCACCUGCCCGUCGUCCCUUUGAUCCUAAUGAUAGAUGCUAUGAGUGUGGUGAAAAGGGACAUUAUGCUUAUGACUGUCAUCGCUAUAGCCGACGAAGAAGAAGCAGGUCACGAUCUAGAUCACAUUCCCGAUCCAGGGGAAGGCGAUACUCUCGCUCACGUAGUAGGAGCCGCGGUAGGAGGUCAAGAUCAGCAUCUCCUCGACGAUCAAGGUCCGUGUCUCUUCGUAGAUCAAGAUCAGCUUCACUCAGAAGAUCUAGGUCUGGUUCUAUAAUAGGAUCGAGAUCCCGCUCAAGGUCGAGAUCAAGAUCCAGGUCUAUUUCACGACCAAGAAGCAGUCGUUCCCCAUCAGGAAGUCCACACAGAAGUGCAAGUCCAGAAAGAAUGGACUGAAGUUCUCAAGUUCACCCGUUAGGGAAAAGUUAUUUUGUUUACAUUAUUAUA